Molecule: transfer RNA, 88 nt
Filed under: Salmo salar (Atlantic salmon)
Lineage: Eukaryota; Metazoa; Chordata; Actinopteri; Salmoniformes; Salmonidae
Rfam family: tRNA
About the family: Transfer RNA (tRNA) molecules are approximately 80 nucleotides in length. Their secondary structure includes four short double-helical elements and three loops (D, anti-codon, and T loops).
Source: Rfam by way of RNAcentral
CCCUGUGGCUCAGUUGGUAGAGCAUGGUGUUUGCAGCGCCAGCAUGGUGUGUGCAACGCCAGGGUUGUGGGUUCGAUUCCCACUGGGG